This 379-nucleotide ribosomal RNA is filed under the name uncultured bacterium. Its description in RNAcentral is "bacterial SSU rRNA". It matches the Rfam family "Bacterial small subunit ribosomal RNA", at positions 498 to 876 of the family's 1533-position model. The record is from RNAcentral.
UAACUACGUGCCAGCAGCCGCGGUAAUACGUAGGCGCAAGCGUUAUCCGGAAUUAUUGGGCGUAAAGAGCUCGUAGGCGGUUUGUCGCGUCUGCCGUGAAAGUCCGGGGUUCAACUCCGGAUCUGCGGUGGGUACGGGCAGACCAGAAUGAUGUAGGGGAGACUGGAUUCCUGGUGUAGCGGUGAAAUGCGCAGAUAUCAAAAGGAACACCGAUGGCGAAAGCAGGUCUCUGGGCAUUAACUGACGCUGAGGAGCGAAAGCAUGGGGAGCGAACAGGAUUAGAUACCCUGGUAGUCCAUGCCGUAAACGUUGGGCACUAGGUGUGGGGGACAUUCCACGUUUUCCGUACCGUAGCUAACGCAUUAAGUGCUUCGCCUGG